This 392-nucleotide ribosomal RNA is filed under the name uncultured bacterium. Its description in RNAcentral is "partial 16S ribosomal RNA". It matches the Rfam family "Bacterial small subunit ribosomal RNA", at positions 523 to 917 of the family's 1533-position model. The record is from RNAcentral.
AUACGGAGGAUGCGAGCGUUAUCCGGAUUUAUUGGGUUUAAAGGGUGCGUAGGUGGUAGAUUAAGUCAGCGGUGAAAGUUUGUCGCUCAACGAUAAAAUUGCCGUUGAUACUGGUUUACUUGAGUAUAGUUGAAGUAGGCGGAAUGCGUGGUGUAGCGGUGAAAUGCAUAGAUAUCACGCAGAACUCCGAUUGCGAAGGCAGCUUACUAAGUUAUAACUGACACUGAAGCACGAAAGCGUGGGUAUCAAACAGGAUUAGAUACCCUGGUAGUCCGCACAGUAAACGAUGAAUACUCGCUGUUUGCGAUACACGGUAAGCGGCCAAGCGAAAGCGUUAAGUAUUCCACCUGGGGAGUACGCCGGCAACGGUGAAACUUAAAGGAAUUGGCGGG